This 337-nucleotide ribosomal RNA is filed under the name uncultured bacterium. RNAcentral's name for it is "partial 16S ribosomal RNA". It matches the Rfam family "Bacterial small subunit ribosomal RNA", at positions 338 to 692 of the family's 1533-position model. The record is from RNAcentral.
CCUACGGGAGGCAGCAGUAGGGAAUAUUGCUCAAUGGGGGAAAGCCUGAUGCAGCCACGCCGCGUGGAUGAUGAAGGUUUUCGGAUUGUAAACUACUUUUGUUAGAGAAGAUAAUGACGGUAUCUAACGAAUAAGCACCGGCUAACUCCGUGCCAGCAGCCGCGGUAAUACGGAGGGUGCAAGCGUUACUCGGAAUCACUGGGCGGAAAGAGCGCGUAGGUGGGAUAGCAAGUCAGAUGUGAAAUCCCAUGGCUUAACCAUAGAACUGCAUUUGAAACUGGUAUUCUAGAGUAUGGGAGAGGGAGGUGGAAUUCUUGGUGGAGGGGUAAAAUCCGUA